This 729-nucleotide long non-coding RNA is filed under the name Coturnix japonica (Japanese quail). RNAcentral's name for it is "lncRNA (ENSCJPG00005011690.1)". The record is from RNAcentral. Lineage: Eukaryota; Metazoa; Chordata; Aves; Galliformes; Phasianidae.
AGCUGGCGGUGGGGAGUGCGAAAGCAGCUCGGCCCAGGCGGCUGCAGCACUUUCCUCCCUUCCUGCUGGGAUAUUAUCUCCACCCUCAGGAGUUUAACUUGCUAUGAGGGCCAGCCCUCUUUGACCUGCUCGCUUCUGACGCUAGAAUUGACAUGUAAAGGUGCUUUAAAGCAUCCCCGUGGCUGUCCCGACAAUGGAGUUUUGCAGCACAAUGCCCCAAACCGAUGUCCUCGGCACACCUCCCGGCUCCCAGCUGCGCAGGGCAGGGCUGGCUCUGGUGCUGCACGGCACAGCCUCUCCUCUCCUUUCUGCUGCCUUCUGCCUGCCAUCAUUUCUUCUGCAAGGCAGCCAAGAUGGGGAGGCUGCAGCACAGAUGUUUUAGCACUUGAGUAUACUUGGAAUAAGUAGAACAUGAGCUACAGGAAAUAAGUUGAGGACUCUGGAUAAGAGGUUUAGAGUUCACAAGGACAAGCAAACAGUGGCACAUCUGCAUGUGCUUAAACCAAACACAGAGGGAUCUUUGAGGCACACGUUAUGUUGGUAUCGAACGAUAAUUCAGUUCCUGUAUUUCACAGCACGAAUUCUGUCGAGUCAGGGAUUAGCACGACCUUUCUGUCUUUUAGGUGACGUGAUGUUGCCCUCUCCCGGUCAUACAUGGAAAUGCUUUAUUUCGUUAAAAGAGCGCAGUCAACUCCCGCUUAUGGGAGCCGAAGUCUGUGUUGAGCUCCC